AAAAACUUCGGCAAGAACGUGGAGCUUGUGUGUGGUGAGACUUGUGCGCUAACUUAGACCACAAGUCCCUCACGAGCCCUGUUUUUACGAACCCUGUGUGAACCGUAAUAUUUAUUCCAUCCACGUAAUACGGAAUUUCUAGUCUAAAGUCUUCUUCAUAUCACGAGAAUAUGAUAAAAA
Molecule: unclassified non-coding RNA, 180 nt
Filed under: soil metagenome
Description: partial internal transcribed spacer 1
Source: RNAcentral